Long non-coding RNA from Pezoporus flaviventris, 1748 nucleotides. RefSeq lists it as uncharacterized. The transcript is spliced from 2 exons. NCBI's taxonomy places the organism in Eukaryota, Metazoa, Chordata, Aves, Psittaciformes, Psittacidae. The record is from RefSeq and is a predicted model, not a curated record.
UAUAUAAGAAUAAAUACUGGGAAGGGAGAAUACAAUGAUAGUGGAGAGGAAGAUUUGGGUAUUCAUUUCCAAAUAAGAGAGUAUGGGGUUUUUUUUGUUUCCUUUGCUAUCAAGAACAGGAGAGUUAAGAGGAGAUUCAGGACUGUGUGAACUCUGUGCAGGGGUAGCUCUGCAAAUUUUCCAUGAAUGGCAGAGUUUGAAGGAAAUCACCUUCUCCAAAAGGGCUUUUCUCCUUAUGGAUUUUGAGCUCCGGGUAUGGAAUAUGUGCACAAUUUUUAAAAAGUGCUAUAUUUCAUCAUGAUUUCCAAACCUUUAUAGUAAACCAUUAGCCUUUCUCUCUUGAUCCCACUCUUCACCCAAAAUCUGACUGCAUUUAAUGUUAAUAUGCUACCAUUUGUUAACAGAUCGCAUGUGAAAGACUUGAGUCUUUUUUCAUAUAUCAGCAAGUCCAGAGUGUGUAUUUGUCUCCACUCCUUAAGAUCUCUGCUAAGUCACCUGAGCUGCGUUUCUCAUGUCACUGUCUUUGAAACAUCUACCUUCAACAUACCUGGGGACAGUGAAAGUAAAAAUUCAGAGAAUGGCAGUGCUGUCGGACUUUUCCUUCUGGCAAAGCAUUGUGGAAGAGAGUAUAGCAUGACACCAAAAAUCACUGAGAAGAAAAAAAAGACACUCCCAUUGUGUAAAAUGCAUUUUCAAAAAAAGAAAGAAAGGAGAAAUAAACCCAAUAGGAACCAUAAAUUAGCCACAUACAGCAUGCAAAGGGCAACAGGUUGAACAGUCACUUCUAUUUCUGUAUAGCCGCGUGCUUGAGUACUUCAUUACUCUGUGUCCAUGGAAAUGGAUCAUCCCAGGUUUCUCUCUCUGUGGGUUUAUUAAUGACUUUGCUGCCUCAGUGGUCUUGGAAGUGGAUGAUGGAACAUGUCUUCUAGCAUGUGGACACCAGCUGUCCUUGUCCUUCCUUCUCACUUGAAGCGUCUCAUGUCAGCUUACUGCAACUGCCUUACAAAGCUCAGCUCAGAAUUCCUUGAGCCUCUGCAUCUUCCUUUUGCUUUCUGGAUCGUGUCUAUGGUCAAAGUUUUUUGUGGGUGACAACUGAAGUGUAGAGGAGGGUCCUUGCUUGCUGAAGGAGAACCUUUUAUUAUUAUUCUUCUGUACUACGUUACAAAAUAUGCAAUUAGUAAACAUCAAAAGAAAGGCAGUUUUCAGCAUAGGAAAAGUUGCAAGAAUGGAAAAAAAUCCAUGACAUACAAGGUUAACACACUUCCUCUGGAAAGAAGAAGAAUUCAACACACUUUGAUUCAUCUGUUUUUUAAUUGCUGCUGUAAUCAUUGGACAUUAUAUAUAUAGCUAUACUGAACAGUCUGGUCACUAAGGGUCACUAGGUUAAGGCAAUGUUUUUUCCAUGUUUUGAGGAAGCCGUGUUUAUUAUAGUGUUAGUAGAUAUGCUCAUGUAACUAUAUUUUGAUUAAAGAUUUAUCAUAUUGUUUUCUCAGAAGAUCUGAAACUGAGAUAGAUACUGUAUGUGAUGACAGGCCAAGCUUGCCUCUUCACUAUAAACAAUCACUGUAAGAAAAUUAAGGUGCAAAACCAUGCCUGCUGUAAUUGUUGCAUACUUAUUAGAAGCUUUCCCUUUCCAGAUUCUCUAGGUAUUUGUUGCCCAUGAUAAUGUGAAUACUUAAGGGGAAACUGUAAUUAGUGACUGUGUAGUUCAUUCAGUAAACAUUUCUGAGCUGUUUGAUGUGACUGAA